RNAcentral lists this ribosomal RNA (489 nucleotides) under Serratia marcescens. Its description in RNAcentral is "bacterial SSU rRNA". It matches the Rfam family "Bacterial small subunit ribosomal RNA", at positions 109 to 594 of the family's 1533-position model. The record is from RNAcentral. Lineage: Bacteria; Pseudomonadati; Pseudomonadota; Gammaproteobacteria; Enterobacterales; Yersiniaceae.
AGUAAUGUCUGGGAAACUGCCUGAUGGAGGGGGAUAACUACUGGAAACGGUAGCUAAUACCGCAUAACGUCGCAAGACCAAAGAGGGGGACCUUCGGGCCUCUUGCCAUCAGAUGUGCCCAGAUGGGAUUAGCUAGUAGGUGGGGUAAUGGCUCACCUAGGCGACGAUCCCUAGCUGGUCUGAGAGGAUGACCAGCCACACUGGAACUGAGACACGGUCCAGACUCCUACGGGAGGCAGCAGUGGGGAAUAUUGCACAAUGGGCGCAAGCCUGAUGCAGCCAUGCCGCGUGUGUGAAGAAGGCCUUCGGGUUGUAAAGCACUUUCAGCGAGGAGGAAGGUGGUGAACUUAAUACGUUCAUCAAUUGACGUUACUCGCAGAAGAAGCACCGGCUAACUCCGUGCCAGCAGCCGCGGUAAUACGGAGGGUGCAAGCGUUAAUCGGAAUUACUGGGCGUAAAGCGCACGCAGGCGGUUUGUUAAGUCAGAUG